AAUAAACCAAUCUUUCACUUUUUACCUAUAAUGUUUGACUCUUCGUCUUAUUUGAAAAAAAUAUGAUUAAUAUUUUUGUUUUUAUUAGAUGAUAAAUUUUGAGUAGUACAUUACGUGUGACUAAUUUUUUUAAAUUUCUUGAAAUUUUUUUAAAUAAGACGGAUAGUCAAACGCUGGACACUCAAACCUAAAGUUCGCCUUAUU
Molecule: microRNA precursor, 204 nt
Filed under: Oryza brachyantha (malo sina)
Lineage: Eukaryota; Viridiplantae; Streptophyta; Magnoliopsida; Poales; Poaceae
Description: MIR812 microRNA precursor family
Rfam family: MIR812 microRNA precursor family
Source: Rfam by way of RNAcentral